Molecule: long non-coding RNA, 1786 nt
Organism: Bactrocera dorsalis (oriental fruit fly)
Lineage: Eukaryota; Metazoa; Arthropoda; Insecta; Diptera; Tephritidae
Exons: 4
Source: RefSeq, a predicted model, not a curated record
GUCUUCUUGUCAGUAGUAUUUUUGUCGCAGUAACGUUCGGACAGACAAUUUAACUGCAUUGUAAUCGUAAGUGCUAAGUCAAUUUGUCUCAGUGAUUAGAAUAGCAAUAAUUUAUUUACAAGGUGUUGCAGAAAACUUGUUUGCUGCAUUUGCACGUCAGUACUCGUAUUCUUCACCUUAACCUAGGACAACAACACACCCAGCCACUGUAACCGCGGAGCGCGUGAGAGAAUAAAACUCGUACUCCUCUACUACAACAAAACCGACAGCUCAAACUUCAAUCGCACUCAAUACUAGCUUUUGAAAGCUACAGACACCCGAGCGCAACCACUGUAAAACAAUAUGGGAAAUCCACUGUGGUUUAUCUUUUGGUUUUUGGUCUUCUGGUUCAUCUCAUUCUUUGUGGCUUUCUUGGCUGCGUUCCUAUACAUAAUAUGCUAUGUGUUGGAAGUGCUGUUUAGUGGGUUAUCGGGUCUCAACAACCUUUUGUUGAAAGGCAUACAAUUCCCCCACUACUGCGCUGUGGGUAUGAUUGAAUGCAAGUCGCCGUUAUAAAUGUUGGUCUAAAGUAAAAUAGUACUUGUUUCUUUUGUUAUUCUUGUAUUGUUAGUGUCUAUAUACAUAUAAAUAUUUAAGCUUUACAGUUAAAUUGUGGGAUGAAUUUGUUUUGUCCAAAUCGUAUAUGAGGCCAUUUAACUAUUUACAUUAAAUGUAUUUUUCUACGCAGUCUAAAAUAAUUUAUUGUAAUAAAAAUGAGCUAAAAUAAAAUUUAUUCAAUAUUGAGUUCAUGUUUUAUUAAAGAAAGUUCUGUAUGUUAUGAGAAAAGGUCAUACAAAAAGAAAAGUAUCGAAUGUUAGGAGAUUGUUAAAAUCGGCUCAUUGUGUUGCCUAAAACUCUAAAGUGUUGAUGAAUAAAAUGCUCAUAAACUGACAAAGUGACUGAAAAAACUGUCUUUUCCAAUGCGGGACAGAUGCUCCAUCUUUUUCCGGUGGUUUGCUUUUGAUUUUUUUGUAGGUUUCUCAAUCUGUCAGCUCCAUUCUGCAGGCAUCGGAGAGGACUAGUGGGGAAAGGACCUGUGCAGAAAAUCUGAUUGAUAUCUCAAAAUUGAUGGACUAGUUCGCGUGUAUACAGACAUGAGGUCGGACAAACAGAUGUGGUGCUGUUCAUUUUUAUAUACUAUACUUACCCGGCCAAGGGCUGUUAUUUUAGUAAUCUAACCCUGUUUAAAAAAGAAAAAAACCCUGUUUGAAAGAGAAAAAAAUAACUCAUAUGCAACACAUAACUUUUUUACACAUUCCAUUUUUUGAUAUUUCAAAUCAUUCUGAAGUGUGUCAAACAAUAUUUUUUUUAUUUUACAUUCUAUUUUUAAAAACUUAAUUCUUUUGAGAAAUAAUUUUCUGUCGCCAAGCGAAAUUUACUUUUUUGUGACCUCGGCAGAGUAAUUUUCUUUGAAAAGCACCAACUACGUUAUGAAGAACCCGCUCUGGUUUAUUUUCUGGCUAUUGGUUUUACUUUUCUUCGCAUUUUUUGUGGCUUUCUUCGCAUCAUUCUUUUACAUAUGGUUCUAUAUGUUUGAGGCAUGCUGUGGAUGCUGGAAUGGCAUAAACAAUUUUCUUUUGAAAUGCGUACAAUUUCCACAUUAUUGCGCCGAAGCCAUGCUUGAAUGCAGAUCUCCAUGCUAAAUACUGACAUUUUAUAGUAAAUGCUUAUACAAAUGUAAAUGUAUACAUAUUUGUAAUAUAUAUAUUAUAUGGAAAACUUAUAAAUAAAAAAGCUUAUAACGAGA